UACGUAGGGUGCAAGCGUUGUCCGGAAUUAUUGGGCGUAAAGAGCUCGUAGGCGGUUUGUCGCGUCGAAUGUGAAAACCCGGGGCUCAACCCCGGGCCUGCAUUCGAUACGGGCAGACUAGAGUUCGGUAGGGGAGUCUGGAAUUCCUGGUGUAGCGGUGAAAUGCGCAGAUAUCAGGAGGAACACCGGUGGCGAAGGCGGGCCUCGGGGCCGACACUGACGCUGAGGAGCGAAAGCGUGGGGAGCAAACAGG
Molecule: ribosomal RNA, 253 nt
Filed under: uncultured bacterium
Lineage: Bacteria
Description: partial 16S ribosomal RNA
Rfam family: Bacterial small subunit ribosomal RNA
Source: RNAcentral